UUACGCUGUUAUCCCCAAGGUAAUUUAAUUUAAAUUUAAAAAAAUAAAGUUAUUAUUCAUAAAUCAAUGAUUAAAAUUAAAAGAGUUAAUUAAAUCUUUUAGUCACCCCAACUAAUUUCUUAAUUAAUAAUAUUAUACUAAAAAUUUUUAAGAAUAAAACUCUAUGGGGUCUUCUCGUCUUUAAUAUAUAUUUAAGAAUUUUAACUUAAAAAUUAAAUUCAAAAAAAAAUUAAAAAGAGACAGAAAUUCUCUUGUCAAAUCAUUCAUACAAGUCUCUAAUUAAGAGACUAAUUAUCACGCUACCUUUGCACAGUCAAAAUACUGCGGCUAUUUAACUUAUCAUUGAGCAGAAUUAGACCUUAANNNNNNNUCAAAGGACAUGUUUUUAUAAACAGGCAGAAAAUUAUUUUGCCGAAUUCCUUUUUUUAACCUAACAAAAAUAAAUAAAAUAAAAUAUAUUAUUACUAAUUUUAUCAUUAUUAAAAGCAAUUAACAAGUAAAUACUUUAUUUUAAUAAAAUAAUUAAAUAAAAAAAAAUCUUUUAAUUUAAAUACAUAAAUAUUAAUUUAUUAAAGAUUAACAAUACAAAUUAUACUAAAUACUAACAAAUACUAUUAUUAUAAUUAUAUAUUUAAAAGCUCAUCCCAUUAAACAUUAUAUAUUAAAACUUAAGAAUUAAAAAUAAAAACUUAAAAAAUAAUAACAGAAUUAAAUUCCUUUCUUAAAAAACUAGAUAUAUUUAAAAUCGAAUAGCGUUUCACCUCCAAUUAAUUAUUAAAAAAAAUUUUUUAACAUUUAAAUAAAUAAUUAAUUAAAUCUUUUAAAUUCGGGAAGAUUAAAAUAAUAAAUUUUAAUUGAUCAACCCUGAUCCACAAGGUACAAAAAUUAAAUUUUUCUUUUUAAAUAAUUUUUCUUAUUAAUAAUAAAAUAAAGUUUUUUCUAUAAAAACAAAUAAAUAAUCUAAUUAUAAUCAAAUUAUACUGAAUUGAACAAUAAUCUUUUUAAUGUAAAUAAAACGCUUACAUAAAGCUUAAAUUUGUAUUCUAGAUACACUUUCCAGUACAUCUACUUUGUUACGACUUAUCUCAAAUAAAUUGAGAGCGACGGGCAAUAUGUACAUAUUUUAGAACAAUAAUCAUCACAAAUAAUUUAAUAUAAUUACAAUCAAAUCCAAUUUAUAUUAAAAAUUUAAAUUUAAUAACCAAAAAUAAAUUUAUUGUAACCCAUCUCUUCUUACCCAUAAGCUGCACCUUGAUCUGAAAUGAUUUCAAAUAAAAAUAAAAGAAAAUUAACCCUAUAAGGAAAUUCAUUACAACGAUAUACAAACUUAAAGAACAAGUAAAAUAUAUCGUGGACUAUCAAUUAUAGGACAGGUUCCUCUGAAUUGAUUAAAAUACCGCCAAAUUUUUUAAUUUUCAAGAACAUA
Molecule: ribosomal RNA, 1426 nt
Filed under: Pleotomodes needhami
Lineage: Eukaryota; Metazoa; Arthropoda; Insecta; Coleoptera; Lampyridae
Description: partial 16S ribosomal RNA
Source: RNAcentral